GGCCGACUGGCCCAGUGGUUAAGGCACUUGCUUUACACGCAAGGGAUCGCAGGUUCGAUCCCUGCGUCGGUCA
Molecule: transfer RNA, 73 nt
Filed under: Aspergillus flavus NRRL3357
Lineage: Eukaryota; Fungi; Ascomycota; Eurotiomycetes; Eurotiales; Aspergillaceae
Also listed under: 2 other names
Description: tRNA-Val (TAC) (tRNA-Val-TAC-2-1)
Rfam family: tRNA
About the family: Transfer RNA (tRNA) molecules are approximately 80 nucleotides in length.
Source: RNAcentral